CCAACUUCAGCUUUUGUGGUGGGGUUUUUUGUUUUUGUUUUUUGUAUUAAUGCGAACAUGCAGUUGUAUAUAGUUCCUGCCGCCACAUUACCUGUGCCAUGUGCCCUCCUCCAUGUUUACUAUGCGAGGAGUUAUGGUGUUAUACCCUACCCUAUAGUAAUAGUUGUUUUAUAAAUUUGCAUAAUACUGGUGGUAAGAAUAACACAAUUGUCCAUGAAAAUCCCAAUGAUACUAAUAACAACACCAAUAGCAC
Molecule: long non-coding RNA, 253 nt
Filed under: Citrus sinensis (sweet orange)
Lineage: Eukaryota; Viridiplantae; Streptophyta; Magnoliopsida; Sapindales; Rutaceae
Description: long non-coding RNA (CSIN_LNC000919)
Source: RNAcentral